This 416-nucleotide ribosomal RNA is filed under the name uncultured bacterium. RNAcentral describes it as "bacterial SSU rRNA". It matches the Rfam family "Bacterial small subunit ribosomal RNA", at positions 30 to 447 of the family's 1533-position model. The record is from RNAcentral.
AUUGAACGCUGGCGGCAUGCCUUACACAUGCAAGUCGAACGGCAGCACGGGAGCAAUCCUGGUGGCGAGUGGCGAACGGGUGAGUAAUAUAUCGGAACGUGCCCGGUCGUGGGGGAUAACGUAGCGAAAGCUACGCUAAUACCGCAUACGAUCUACGGAUGAAAGCGGGGGAUCGCAAGACCUCGCGCGAUUGGAGCGGCCGAUAUCAGAUUAGGUAGUUGGUGAGGUAAAGGCUCACCAAGCCGACGAUCUGUAGCUGGUCUGAGAGGACAACCAGCCACACUGGGACUGAGACACGGCCCAGACUCCUACGGGAGGCAGCAGUGGGGAAUUUUGGACAAUGGGCGCAAGCCUGAUCCAGCAAUGCCGCGUGCAGGAUGAAGGCCUCGGUUGUAACGUAGCUUUGUUACGGUAAC